AGGCACGUAGCUCAGUUGGUUAGAGCACCACCCUGACGCGGUGGGGGUCGUCGGUUCGAAUCCGACUGUGCCUA
This 74-nucleotide transfer RNA is filed under the name Deltaproteobacteria bacterium RIFOXYA12_FULL_61_11. RNAcentral describes it as "tRNA-Val". It matches the Rfam family "tRNA". Rfam says of the family: Transfer RNA (tRNA) molecules are approximately 80 nucleotides in length. Their secondary structure includes four short double-helical elements and three loops (D, anti-codon, and T loops). The record is from RNAcentral. Lineage: Bacteria; Deltaproteobacteria.